UGUCCUAGUCAUCUGCAUAAAGAAUGUA
RNAcentral lists this non-coding RNA (28 nucleotides) under Mus musculus (house mouse). The record is from RNAcentral. Lineage: Eukaryota; Metazoa; Chordata; Mammalia; Rodentia; Muridae.